Molecule: non-coding RNA, 58 nt
Organism: Aedes albopictus (Asian tiger mosquito)
Lineage: Eukaryota; Metazoa; Arthropoda; Insecta; Diptera; Culicidae
Source: Rfam
UAGCCUAGUGGUUAAGGCUAUGGAUCGCCAAUCCUGAGACGGCGGGUUCGAUUCCCGU